AUGACACUGUCAAAGCCCUCACUGUGGCUUACCUUCGGCCCGGGAACCAAGCUGGAGGUCAAACGGAGUGAUGCUCAGCCAUCCGUCUUUCUCUUCCCACCAUCUCUGGACCAGUUGCACAAAGGAACUGCCUCUAUCGUGUGCAUGCUGAAUGACUUCUACCCCAAAGAGGCCAAUGUCCAGUGGAAAGUGGAUGGUGUUCUCCAAAACCAAGGCAUCCAGCAGAGCAUCACAGAGCAGAACAGCAAGGACAACACCUACAGCCUCAGCAGCACCCUGACGAUACCCAGUACAGAGUACCAGAGUCAUGAAAAGUACUCCUGCGAGGUCACGCACAAGAGCCUGUCCUCCGCCCUCGUCAAGAGCUUCAACAGGAGCGAGUGUCAGAAAGAGUAGCCUCGCAGGCCUCAUCGCCUGUGCCUCGGCCCCAACCUCCCUGCCUCCCUCCUCAGGCCUCCGGACCUUUUCUCAUCGGAGACCCACGUCUAUUGCAGGCCCUUUUCCCCACCUUACUGCCUCCCCCUCUUUGGCUUUAAUCAUGCUAAUAAUAUUUGGGGGAAAAUGAAUAAAUAAAGUGAAUCUUUGCACCGAU
Molecule: non-coding RNA, 592 nt
Organism: Hyaena hyaena (striped hyena)
Lineage: Eukaryota; Metazoa; Chordata; Mammalia; Carnivora; Hyaenidae
Source: the annotation of a RefSeq genome assembly